GGUAUUUUGACCGUGCAAAGGUAGCAUAAUCAUUAGUUUUUUAAUUGAAAGCUGGAAUGAAAGGUUGGAUGAGAAAUAAGCUGUCUCUAUUUAAUUUUAUUAGAAUUUUAUUUUUAAGUAAAAAAGCUUAAAUUUUAAUAGAAGACGAGAAGACCCUAUAGAGUUUUAUUUAUUUUUUAAAUAAAAUUAAUAGUAUUAAUUAUUUUUAUUUGAUAGAUAAAUUUGGUUGGGGUGAUUGAAAAAUUUAGUAAACUUUUUUUAUAUGCAUACAUUGAUAUAUGAUUAAUUGAUCCUUAAUUUAAGAUUAAAAGAUAAAAUUACCUUAGGGAUAACAGCGUAAUUUUUUUUGAGAGUUCUAAUCGAAAGAAAAGAUUGCGACCUCGAUGUUGGAUUAAAAUAAAAUUUUGGUGUAGAAGCUAAGA
This 422-nucleotide ribosomal RNA is filed under the name Laparocerus tenuepunctatus tenuepunctatus. Its description in RNAcentral is "partial 16S ribosomal RNA". The record is from RNAcentral. Lineage: Eukaryota; Metazoa; Arthropoda; Insecta; Coleoptera; Curculionidae.